GAUGAACGCUGGCGGCGUGCCUAAUACAUGCAAGUCGAGCGAACAGACGAGGAACUUGCUCCUCUGGCGUUAGCAGCGGACGGGUGAGUAACACGUGGAUAACCUACCUAUAAGACUGGGAUAACUUCGGGAAACCAGAGCUAAUACCGGAUAAUAUAUUGAACCGCAUGGUUCAAUAGUGAAAGACGGUUUUGCUGUCACUUAUAGAUAUAUCCGCGCCGCAUUAGCUAGUUGGUAGGGUAACGGCUUACCAAGGCAACGAUGCUAAGCCACCCGGAGGGGGGGAUGGCCCAAACGGGAACUGAGACCCGGCCCAAACCCCUACGGGAGGAACCAGAAGGGAAUCUUCCGCAAUGGGGGAAAGCUUAACGGGGAAACCCGGGGGGAGGGAGGAAGGUGUUCGGAUGUAAAAACCCUGUUGUUAGGAAGGAAGAAAUGUGGAAGUAACUGCGCACGUAUUGACGGUACCUAAUCAGAAAGCCACGGCUAACUACGUG
This 497-nucleotide ribosomal RNA is filed under the name uncultured bacterium. RNAcentral describes it as "partial 16S ribosomal RNA". It matches the Rfam family "Bacterial small subunit ribosomal RNA", at positions 28 to 507 of the family's 1533-position model. The record is from RNAcentral.